This is a non-coding RNA of Brassica napus (rape), 119 nucleotides long. Lineage: Eukaryota; Viridiplantae; Streptophyta; Magnoliopsida; Brassicales; Brassicaceae. The record is from Rfam.
GGAAUAUAAAAAUCCGUCUCUUAACUUUUAACUAAAAAAACUAAGAACCGGUUCUUAAAUAUUAAGAACUGGUUCUUAGCUUUUUUAGUUAAAAGUUAAGAGAUGCAUUCUUAUAUUUC